This 481-nucleotide ribosomal RNA is filed under the name uncultured Sphingobacteriales bacterium. Its description in RNAcentral is "bacterial SSU rRNA". It matches the Rfam family "Bacterial small subunit ribosomal RNA", at positions 900 to 1382 of the family's 1533-position model. The record is from RNAcentral. Lineage: Bacteria; Pseudomonadati; Bacteroidota; Sphingobacteriia; Sphingobacteriales.
CUCAAAGGAAUUGACGGGGCCCGCACAAGCGGAGGAACAUGUGGUUUAAUUCGAUGAUACGCGGGGAACCUUACCUGGGCUUAAAUGCAGAGUGCAUGGAGUGGAAACACUUCUUCCCUUCGGGGCUCUUUGCAAGGUGCUGCAUGGUUGUCGUCAGCUCGUGCCGUGAGGUGUCGGGCUAAGUCCCAUAACGAGCGCAACCCUUAUCGUUAGUUGCCAGCGGGUAAAGCCGGGAACUCUAGCGAAACUGCCGGUGUAAACCGAGAGGAAGGUGGGGAUGACGUCAAAUCAUCAUGCCCCUUAUGUCUUGGGCUACACACGUGCUACAAUGGCCUACACAACGGGAAGCGAAGGGGUGACCUGGAGCCAAUCCUACAAAGUAGGUCUCAGUUCGGAUUGCACUCUGCAACUCGAGUGCAUGAAGCCGGAAUCGCUAGUAAUCGCGGAUCAGCACGCCGCGGUGAAUACGUUCCCGGGCCUU